CUUGUGUGUGUCUCUUAUGAUGGAGAGCUGCUGAUCUCGGGCAGAUGCCACUGCUGAGCACUGAUCCUGCUGUUCUCUCAGCCGGCCACAGGAGGACUGGUGUUGUGUUUGCAUUCUCUGCUGUUCUCUGGCUUCACUUCAAACACACUGAAGAACCUGGGACUCCUGCUCCACACUUUGAAACCGCACCAAAUGUAAACGACCUGACCUCCCGCUGCUAUGCAAUCUCUGCAGCUAUGAGACAAACAGCAAAACAGGAGUCAAAG
Long non-coding RNA from Trematomus bernacchii (emerald rockcod), 266 nucleotides. RefSeq lists it as uncharacterized. Lineage: Eukaryota; Metazoa; Chordata; Actinopteri; Perciformes; Nototheniidae. The record is from RefSeq and is a predicted model, not a curated record. The transcript has 3 exons.